AGUGACAACAGGAAAUUUGCAACAGUAAAAACAGGGUUCAGAGCAGGUUAUGGAGGUGAUGUUAGGGGAGCGUGGGUCAAUUUGUGAUGUUUGGGGAGCGUUGGUCAGGCGUGGUGUUAGGGGAGCGUUGGUCAAUCGGGUGAGGUGCUAGGGAAGAGUGGGUCAGUGCGUUGUAGAAGAUGCUGUAGAGCUCCUAAAAAGAAACAGAAACAGAGAACAGACAAUCAGAUACUUUUUUAAUAGUUCAUAAAAGAGUUCAAGAAAUUAGAUAUAAAUUAACCUCUUCCCAUUUUAUGCUCAUAUAUACUACGAUAUAAAUGGUGGAUGUCUUAAGUUUUACAUAUAGCACAAUGACCAUUCAGAGCUUAAACUGAAGUAGACACUUUUAACUAAUCAGUUAACUUCCAGACUUUAAUUUCCAUUAUUUAGGUCCCAUUUGAGAACAUCAAAUGAAAAAGAAAAUGUAAAAAUGUUAUAUUUGGAGUUUACAAUGUGUGUAUAGAUGUUGGUCAUGAAAAAUCAGUCAUUCUCUACACUUCCUGAUUCAUCAGGGUCUUGACUAACAAAUU
This 569-nucleotide long non-coding RNA is filed under the name Astyanax mexicanus (Mexican tetra). RNAcentral describes it as "lncRNA (ENSAMXG00005010452.1)". Lineage: Eukaryota; Metazoa; Chordata; Actinopteri; Characiformes; Acestrorhamphidae. The record is from RNAcentral.